RNAcentral lists this long non-coding RNA (495 nucleotides) under Trifolium pratense (red clover). Its description in RNAcentral is "long non-coding RNA (TPRA_LNC011049)". The record is from RNAcentral. Lineage: Eukaryota; Viridiplantae; Streptophyta; Magnoliopsida; Fabales; Fabaceae.
ACACUUUUUGACCAAAGCUCUAUGAUUUCAUCACACUACUCACAUGCACUCUUCAGUUUUUGGUAUUUCACUCAAAUCAACACAUCAAUGCAAGUCAACAAUAAUUUUGCAAGUAAUCUAAGAAUUCAUUCGGUUCACUUUGUGCACACACAUUAGAGGACUUUUAGGGUUAUAACGUGGCUUGGCUAGGNNNNNNNNNNNNNNAGUAGAAAAACUUGGAGUUAGAUCCCCUUAUGGUCAAAAAUUUCAUAAACCAAACCCCUUUUUCCUUUGAACUAUAGUGGACUAGAGAACUUUUUCAAUCAUCAAACAAGUUUUGCAAUUCUUUGGAAUUCAAGGUUAUCACUUCUUUUCUAUAUUUUUUUUUUCACAUACAUCUCUUUUUUUCAUUUUUUUUUUUUCUUUGCCUUGCAAUUUUUUGAAAUUUUCUCAAUUUUUCAAAUCAAAACUUUUUGUAAGUUCUCUAGUACCCUCACCCCAAACUUUAUUUGUUGC